Molecule: ribosomal RNA, 521 nt
Filed under: uncultured Chloroflexota bacterium
Lineage: Bacteria; Bacillati; Chloroflexota
Description: bacterial SSU rRNA
Rfam family: Bacterial small subunit ribosomal RNA
Source: RNAcentral
AAUAUUGGGCAAUGGGCGAAAGCCUGACCCAGCAACGCCGCGUGAGCGAUGGAGGCCUUCGGGUCGUAAAGCUCUUUUCCCAAGGAAGAGGAAGGACGGUACUUGGGGAAUAAGUCACGGCUAACUACGUGCCAGCAGCCGCGGUAAAACGUAGGUGGCGAGCGUUAUCCGGAUUCACUGGGCGUAGAGGGCACGCAGGCGGCUCGGCAGGUAGGGCAUGAAAUCUCCCGGCUUAACUGGGAGAGGCUGUCCUAAACCGCUGGGCUUGAGGGCGGGAGAGGGAAGUGGAAUUGCCGGUGUAGUGGUGAAAUGCGUAGAGAUCGGCAGGAACACCAGUGGCGAAGGCGACUUCCUGGUCCGCCCCUGACGCUCAUGUGCGAAAGCUAGGGUAGCGAACGGGAUUAGAAACCCCGGUAGUCCUAGCCGUAAACGAUGUAUACUAGGUGUCGGUGGUAUUGACCCCAUCGGUGCCGAAGCAAACGCGUUAAGUAUACCGCCUGGGGACUACGGCCGCAAGGCUA